This 462-nucleotide ribosomal RNA is filed under the name uncultured bacterium. Its description in RNAcentral is "bacterial SSU rRNA". It matches the Rfam family "Bacterial small subunit ribosomal RNA", at positions 201 to 644 of the family's 1533-position model. The record is from RNAcentral.
GGAAAGCAGGGGAUCGCAAGACCUUGCGCUCUUGGAGCGGCCGAUGUCUGAUUAGCUAGUUGGUGAGGUAAAGGCUUACCAAGGCGACGAUCAGUAGCUGGUCUGAGAGGACGACCAGCCACACUGGGACUGAGACACGGCCCAGACUCCUACGGGAGGCAGCAGUGGGGAAUUUUGGACAAUGGGGGAAACCCUGAUCCAGCCAUGCCGCGUGAGUGAAGAAGGCCUUUGGGUUGUAAAGCUCUUUCAGCCGGAACGAAACGGUCACGGCUAAUACCUGUGAUCACUGACGGUACCGGAAGAAGAAGCACCGGCUAACUACGUGCCAGCAGCCGCGGUAAUACGUAGGGUGCAAGCGUUAAUCGGAAUUACUGGGCGUAAAGCGUGCGCAGGCGGUUUUGUAAGUCAGAUGUGAAAUCCCCGGGCUUAACCUGGGAACUGCGUUUGAAACUACAAGGCUAG